RNAcentral lists this long non-coding RNA (551 nucleotides) under Equus caballus (horse). RNAcentral describes it as "lncRNA (ENSECAG00000043183.2)". Lineage: Eukaryota; Metazoa; Chordata; Mammalia; Perissodactyla; Equidae. The record is from RNAcentral.
GUUUUAUUUAGAACUGUUGCAUCUAUGCUUAUGAGAAAGGUUGGCCUGCAAUUUUCUAUUACAUGUUGGACAGGACCAAAUAUCAAUGACCUUUUGGUGUGGACCAAACGUCUUGCAAGGGAAAUCAGUUGAGAUUACUGCAGCUCCCUGGGCGAAAAGUGACAGCAGCCUGGACCAGAGUGAUACCUUGAAUGUGUGGAGAAGACACGAUUGACAGCACUUGUUGAAAGAUUGGAAGUCGCCACAAGGAAGAGAGAGGAAGGAGAGCCGACCUCAGGAUCCUGAGGAAAAGGUCAGGAGACCUGCCCUGCAAAGAGAGAUCAUGAAUUUAAUUUUCAGAAAGGGAACUAAAACACACUUGAUCCAUGCAACCUCUCGCGGCUUAUAGAUCAAAAUGGGAAGAAUGCAAAGAUUAGCACGGCCCCUUCACGUGGCUAGUUCACACAUUUGUGAUGUGUAAUCAAUAAAAAAAGCUGAUCGCACUCCAAAAAGAAAAGUAUAAAGAAAAAACAAACUAAAAUAAAUAUUGUCACUAAGAAAGAUUAAAGGGG